GAAACUUUCUGGUAGCAAAAGUUUGGAUUUUUGUGCAGAAACAGCUUGCUGCAGUCUCAGUCAAUUUGGAACUAACUUGAUGGUGGUAUGAAAUAAGGUGCCAAAAGGCACCCGAAAACAGGCAGAAGAAUGAAGCCAAGAAAGCAAAGGAGAGUUAAAGAGAAGAAAUAGAAAACGAACUUUGAGAAGAACAAGAGAUUGAGAACACUGUAGAGAAUGAAGAAGAAAAAAGAGAAGAUAAAAAAAGAAGAAGAAGAAGA
This is a long non-coding RNA of Exaiptasia diaphana, 260 nucleotides long. RefSeq lists it as uncharacterized. NCBI's taxonomy places the organism in Eukaryota, Metazoa, Cnidaria, Anthozoa, Actiniaria, Aiptasiidae. The transcript has 2 exons. The record is from RefSeq and is a predicted model, not a curated record.